RNAcentral lists this long non-coding RNA (1458 nucleotides) under Mytilus galloprovincialis (Mediterranean mussel). Lineage: Eukaryota; Metazoa; Mollusca; Bivalvia; Mytilida; Mytilidae. The record is from RNAcentral.
GUUCCGGAUAGGUAUUCAUGACACCGAUACAAAGUGAGAACAUGAAAGCGACACGUCUUACGGUUUAGGCUGCUAACUUCGUCAAAGUUUGGCGGAAAAAGAAUAAUAAACAGAAGAAAUACAGUAAGGUCUUUCCCUUUUGUAAAAGGAAAGACCUUAAUAAUAAUAAUCAGAAGAAAUACAGUAAGGUCUUUCCUUAUAGAAAAAGGAAAGACCUUAAUUAAAAACCAAUUCUUCAGAGAACAAUUGAAGGUCUUUCCACCUCGAUAAUUAGAAUGAAAUUGAGAAAAAGAUGUUAGAAAGGGUCACUCCUUGUUGAUGUAAUUUGGUACCUCAACUGAUAUAGAAAAAUAAGAUUAAUAAGUAUAUGCAGAAGACAUAAUUGUUUUAUAAUGAACAAAAACAAAUUUAAAGCAAAGGUCAAAAUCUAGAACGUCAAGUUGACCUUUGACCUUGACCUCAAUUUCAAGGUCAUAGGUCAGUGAUCUCAAAUCAAAAGACCCCAGGUCAAUCACUUGUAUGGUUGAAAAGACAUAUCGAUUUCAAAGACAAAAGGGGAGAAAACUCAUAAAAGGGUUGACCAAAACACUUCGACUUAAAUGGGUUGAAGUUGCCCUCUUGUUGUAAACAAUAAUUUGGCAAACACAUCGUAUCAUUAACUGUUACAUUUUCUUUUGAAUAACGAUAACAAGCAAAAAUCAAAAUUUAUAACAUGACCUUGACCUUUGACCUUGACCUCAAUUUGAAGGUCAUGGGUCAGUGAACUUAAAUUAGAAGGUCCGAGGUCAAUCACUUGUAUGGUUGUGGAGAAAUAAUGAUUUCAAAUACAUAAGGGGAGAAAACUCCUAUAAGGGUUAACCAAAACACUUCGACUGAUUAAUUUGAAGUUGCACCUUAUUGUAAACAGUGAUUUUGCAAACAUAUCAUAUCAUUAACUGUUACAGUUUCUUUUGAAUAACGAUAACAAGCAAAAUUCAAAAUUUAUAACAUGACCUUGACCUUUAACCUUGACCUCAAUUUUCUUUAUUUGGACCAAGGACUUCAUAUCAAAAGACUGUAGGCCUCUACAACUUAUACUGUAUGAAUUAACCCAACAUAUCGUUUAUUUUAAAUUUUCAAAGGGAAAUAACUCCCAUAAGAUGUCUUCUGAUUCCCUCAGUCAAAGUAAAACAAAUCAUUCUUAAGAGUAGACGAACAAUUUGGUGAAAACAGUUUGUAAAAAUCUUAUACGGUUUUAGAGAUAUAGCGAUAACAAGAAAAAGGGGACACGGGGAGAUAACUCCUAUAAGAAUAAGUGUUCGGUCACACAGGGUGAGUUUUGAAACCUCCAUUACUGAACAACAUCGUUGGCCAAACAUCCAUUAGAUAUGUUGUAAAACAAAAAAGCAUCUCAGACGGCAGAAGAAAAAAAAAAAAAAAAAAAAAAAAAAAAAAAAAAAAAAAAAUAAUCAGAAGAAA